UACGAAGGGGGGCUAGCGUUGCUCGGAAUCACUGGGCGUAAAGGGUGCGUAGGCGGGUUUUUAAGUCAGAGGUGAAAUCCUGGAGCUCAACUCCAGAACUGCCUUUGAUACUGAAGAUCUUGAGUCCGGAAGAGGUGAGUGGAACUGCGAGUGUAGAGGUGAAAUUCGUAGAUAUUCGCAAGAACACCAGUGGCGAAGGCGGCUCACUGGUCCGGUACUGACGCUGAGGCACGAAAGCGUGGGGAGCAAACAGG
This 254-nucleotide ribosomal RNA is filed under the name uncultured bacterium. RNAcentral's name for it is "partial 16S ribosomal RNA". It matches the Rfam family "Bacterial small subunit ribosomal RNA", at positions 524 to 776 of the family's 1533-position model. The record is from RNAcentral.